GAUGAACGCUGGCGGCGUGCCUAAUACAUGCAAGUCGAGCGAACGGACGAGAAGCUUGCUUCUCUGAUGUUAGCGGCGGACGGGUGAGUAACACGUGGAUAACCUACCUAUAAGACUGGGAUAACUUCGGGAAACCGGAGCUAAUACCGGAUAAUAUUUUGAACCGCAUGGUUCAAAAGUGAAAGACGGUCUUGCUGUCACUUAUAGAUGGAUCCGCGCUGCAUUAGCUAGUUGGUAAGGUAACGGCUUACCAAGGCAACGAUGCAUAGCCGACCUGAGAGGGUGAUCGGCCACACUGGAACUGAGACACGGUCCAGACUCCUACGGGAGGCAGCAGUAGGGAAUCUUCCGCAAUGGGCGAAAGCCUGACGGAGCAACGCCGCGUGAGUGAUGAAGGUCUUCGGAUCGUAAAACUCUGCUAUUAGGGAAGAACAUAUGUGUAAGUAACUGUGCACAUCUUGACGGUACCUAAUCAGAAAGCCACGGCUAACUACGUGCCAGCAGCCGCGGUAAUACGUAGGUGGCAAGCGUUAUCCGGAAUUAUUGGGCGUAAAGCGCGCGUAGGCGGUUUUUUAAGUCUGAUGUGAAAGCCCACGGCUCAACCGUGGAGGGUCAUUGGAAACUGGAAAACUUGAGUGCAGAAGAGGAAAGUGGAAUUCCAUGUGUAGCGGUGAAAUGCGCAGAGAUAUGGAGGAACACCAGUGGCGAAGGCGACUUUCUGGUCUGUAACUGACGCUGAUGUGCGAAAGCGUGGGGAUCAAACAGGAUUAGAUACCCUGGUAGUCCACGCCGUAAACGAUGAGUGCUAAGUGUUAGGGGGUUUCCGCCCCUUAGUGCUGCAGCUAACGCAUUAAGCACUCCGCCUGGGGAGUACGACCGCAAGGUUGAAACUCAAAGGAAUUGACGGGGACCCGCACAAGCGGUGGAGCAUGUGGUUUAAUUCGAAGCAACGCGAAGAACCUUACCAAAUCUUGACAUCCUUUGACAACUCUAGAGAUAGAGCCUUCCCCUUCGGGGGACAAAGUGACAGGUGGUGCAUGGUUGUCGUCAGCUCGUGUCGUGAGAUGUUAGGUUAAGUCCCGCAACGAGCGCAACCCUUAAGCUUAGUUGCCAUCAUUAAGUUGGGCACUCUAAGUUGACUGCCGGUGACAAACCGGAGGAAGGUGGGGAUGACGUCAAAUCAUCAUGCCCCUUAUGAUUUGGGCUACACACGUGCUACAAUGGACAAUACAAAGGGCAGCGAAACCGCGAGGUCAAGCAAAUCCCAUAAAGUUGUUCUCAGUUCGGAUUGUAGUCUGCAACUCCACUACAUGAAGCUGGAAUCGCUAGUAAUCGUAAAUCAGCAUGCUUACCGGUGAAUACCGUCCCCGGGUCU
RNAcentral lists this ribosomal RNA (1375 nucleotides) under uncultured bacterium. Its description in RNAcentral is "bacterial SSU rRNA". It matches the Rfam family "Bacterial small subunit ribosomal RNA", at positions 28 to 1381 of the family's 1533-position model. The record is from RNAcentral.